CCUGGUUGAUCCUGCCAGUAGUCAUAUGCUUGUGUUAAAGAUUAAGCCAUGCAUGCCCAAGUAUAAAUCUAACAUAUGGUGAAACUGCGGACGGCUCCAUAGAUCAGUAAUUGUUCGUUUGGUGAUGCAACCGUACAUGGAUAACCCUGUUAAUUGUAGAGCUAAUACAUGGACAAAAGACCAGCAACGUGCAAUUUUUGCAUGUGCUGGUGGCACUUGUCAACAACAGCCUCGACGCGCGAGCAUCGCGGGAUAGGAAGGGCAGAGGCGGCAGAGAACUGGGCACAGAAAGAAGCGGAGGAAGCGAAGAAACUGACUUUACAAGGCAGAAGACCGCUUUGGAAGUGUCCGGGGAAAACCGAAAAACUCUGCAGGGCGCUGUCCGACUGCCAGAGUCUCGGGAAGAGCCCGCGCGGGAAGCAAACAAGGGGAAGACAUGAAAGAAGGCAAUUCAAAGCGGAUCGUAAGGCCAUGCGCCGACGACGCGCCAUUCGAAUUUCUGACCUAUCAACUCUGAUGGUAGGGUCGUGGCCUACCAUGGUAUAACAGGUAACGGGGAAUCAGGGCUCGAUUCCGGAGAGGGAGCCUGAGAAACGGCUACCACUUCCAAGGAAGGCAGCAGGCGCGUAAAUUACUCCCUGCCGACACGGCGAGGUAGUGACGACAAAUACCGAUGCCAGCCCAAUGGGUUGGUAAUUGGAAUGAGCAGAACAUAAAAACCUUUGCAAGUAACAAUUGGAGGGCAAGUCUGGUGCCAGCAGCCGCGGUAAUUCCAGCUCCAAGAGUGUAUACUAAAGCUGUUGCGGUUAAAACGCUCGUAGUUGAACACCGACAUCCGGAACCAAAGCUGCGGGAGAGCCACUGCCCAUCCCGGGCCGGCGCAAGCCGGAGCGGGGGAGUGGGGGCGCCUGCAGCCCGGAGAAGAACAACGCAAAAAGAGGCCAGCCCGGCCAGGCUGCACUUACUGUGCGGCGGGCAUCACGCCUUCCGGACGGGGAGGCAAUGGGAGGGCCAGAAGAGAAUUUUACCUUGAACAAACUAGAGUGUUCCAAGCAAGCGGCAGCACCGCUGUGAAUACGAUUAGCAUGGGAUAAACAACGAAAAAGAGCCCAGGCCAGAGCGGAGGGGCCACCAUGGGAAUGGGGCGCAGCAGCGCCCGGGCAGGUUCCGAGACAACCCCGAGCACCGAUUUCGUGGAGUCGGUUUGGUGCGAGGUCAGGGCCAGCGGGCAGGGGCGGGGGAGGCAUCCGAAAGGAGGCUGAAGCCGCUGUGUCCGGGGGCGACUGCGGGGGAAGGAGCAGGC
This 1303-nucleotide ribosomal RNA is filed under the name metagenome. Its description in RNAcentral is "bacterial SSU rRNA". The stretch from base 2 to 1170 matches the Rfam family "Eukaryotic small subunit ribosomal RNA", at positions 4 to 1116 of the family's 1831-position model. The record is from RNAcentral.